This 478-nucleotide ribosomal RNA is filed under the name uncultured bacterium. Its description in RNAcentral is "partial 16S ribosomal RNA". It matches the Rfam family "Bacterial small subunit ribosomal RNA", at positions 28 to 523 of the family's 1533-position model. The record is from RNAcentral.
GACGAACGCUGGCGGCGUGCUUAACACAUGCAAGUCGAACGGUAAGGCCCUUCGGGGUACACGAGUGGCGAACGGGUGAGUAACACGUGGGUGAUCUGCCCUGCACUUCGGGAUAAGCCUGGGAAACUGGGUCUAAUACCGGAUAGGACCACUGCCUGCAUGGGUGGUGGUGGAAAGCUUUUGCGGUGUGGGAUGGGCCCGCGGCCUAUCAGCUUGUUGGCGGGGUGAUGGCCUACCAAGGCGACGACGGGUAGCCGGCCUGAGAGGGUGACCGGCCACACUGGGACUGAGGUACGGCCCAGACUCCUACGGGAGGCAGCAGUGGGGAAUAUUGCACAAUGGGCGCAAGCCUGAUGCAGCGACGCCGCGUGAGGGAUGACGGCCUUCGGGUUGUAAACCUCUUUCAGCAUCGACGAAGCGCAAGUGACGGUAGGUGCAGAAGAAGGACCGGCCAACUACGUGCCAGCCGCCGCCGUAA